UACGUAGGGAGCAAGCGUUGUCCGGAAUCAUUGGGCGUAAAGCGCGCGUAGGUGGCCUCAUAAGUCCGCUGUGAAAGUCAAAGGCUCAACCUUUGAAAGCCGGUGGAUACUGUGAGGCUAGAGUACGGAAGAGGCGAGUGGAAUUCCUGGUGUAGCGGUGGAAUGCGCAGAUAUCAGGAGGAACACCAAUAGCGAAGGCAACUCGCUGGGACGUUACUGACACUGAGGCGCGAAAGCGUGGGGAGCGAACAGG
RNAcentral lists this ribosomal RNA (253 nucleotides) under uncultured bacterium. RNAcentral's name for it is "partial 16S ribosomal RNA". It matches the Rfam family "Bacterial small subunit ribosomal RNA", at positions 524 to 776 of the family's 1533-position model. The record is from RNAcentral.